CAGGCUUAACACAUGCAAGUCGAGGGGCAGCAUGGUCUUAGCUUGCUAAGGCCGAUGGCGACCGGCGCACGGGUGAGUAACACGUAUCCAACCUGCCGUCUACUCUUGGACAGCCUUCUGAAAGGAAGAUUAAUACAAGAUGGCAUCAUGAGUCCGCAUGUUCACAUGAUUAAAGGUAUUCCGGUAGACGAUGGGGAUGCGUUCCAUUAGAUAGUAGGCGGGGUAACGGCCCACCUAGUCUUCGAUGGAUAGGGGUUCUGAGAGGAAGGUCCCCCACAUUGGAACUGAGACACGGUCCAAACUCCUACGGGAGGCAGCAGUGAGGAAUAUUGGUCAAUGGGCGAGAGCCUGAACCAGCCAAGUAGCGUGAAGGAUGACUGCCCUAUGGGUUGUAAACUUCUUUUAUAAAGGAAUAAAGUCGGGUAUGGAUACCCGUUUGCAUGUACUUUAUGAAUAAGGAUCGGCUAACUCCGUGCCAGCAGCCGCGGUAAUACGGAGGAUCCGAGCGUUAUCCGGAUUUAUUGGGUUUAAAGGGAGCGUAGAUGGAUGUUUAAGUCAGUUGUGAAAGUUUGCGGCUCAACCGUAAAAUUGCAGUUGAUACUGGAUAUCUUGAGUGCAGUUGAGGCAGGCGGAAUUCGUGGUGUAGCGGUGAAAUGCUUAGAUAUCACGAAGAACUCCGAUUGCGAAGGCAGCCUGCUAAGCUGCAACUGACAUUGAGGCUCGAAAGUGUGGGUAUCAAACAGGAUUAGAUACCCUGGUAGUCCACACGGUAAACGAUGAAUACUCGCUGUUUGCGAUAUACGGCAAGCGGCCAAGCGAAAGCGUUAAGUAUUCCACCUGGGGAGUACGCCGGCAACGGUGAAACUCAAAGGAAUUGACGGGGGCCCGCACAAGCGGAGGAACAUGUGGUUUAAUUCGAUGAUACGCGAGGAACCUUACCCGGGCUUAAAUUGCAGAUGAAUUACGGUGAAAGCCGUAAGCCGCAAGGCAUCUGUGAAGGUGCUGCAUGGUUGUCGUCAGCUCGUGCCGUGAGGUGUCGGCUUAAGUGCCAUAACGAGCGCAACCCUUGUUGUCAGUUACUAACAGGUUCCGCUGAGGACUCUGACAAGACUGCCAUCGUAAGAUGUGAGGAAGGUGGGGAUGACGUCAAAUCAGCACGGCCCUUACGUCCGGGGCUACACACGUGUUACAAUGGGGGGUACAGAGGGCCGCUACCACGCGAGUGGAUGCCAAUCCCAAAAACCUCUCUCAGUUCGGACUGGAGUCUGCAACCCGACUCCACGAAGCUGGAUUCGCUAGUAAUCGCGCAUCAGCCACGGCGCGGUGAAUACGUUCCCGGGCCUUGUACACACCGCCCGUCAAGCCAUGGGAGCCGGGGGUACCUGAAGUGCGUAACCGCGAGGAGCGCCCUAGGGUAAAACUGGUGACUGGGGCUAAGUCAUAACAAGG
RNAcentral lists this ribosomal RNA (1449 nucleotides) under uncultured organism. RNAcentral describes it as "16S ribosomal RNA". It matches the Rfam family "Bacterial small subunit ribosomal RNA". The record is from RNAcentral.